GUGCUAAUACCGGAUAACAACAUGAAUCGCAUGAUUCAAGUUUGAAAGGCGGCGCAAGCUGUCACUUUAGGAUGAGCCCGCGGCGCAUUAGCUAGUUGGUGGGGUAAAGGCCUACCAAGGCAAUGAUGCGUAGCCGAGUUGAGAGACUGAUCGGCCACAUUGGGACUGAGACACGGCCCAAACUCCUACGGGAGGCAGCAGUAGGGAAUCUUCCACAAUGGACGCAAGUCUGAUGGAGCAACGCCGCGUGAGUGAAGAAGGUCUUCGGAUCGUAAAGCU
RNAcentral lists this ribosomal RNA (279 nucleotides) under Lactobacillus jensenii. RNAcentral's name for it is "partial 16S ribosomal RNA". It matches the Rfam family "Bacterial small subunit ribosomal RNA", at positions 160 to 432 of the family's 1533-position model. Lineage: Bacteria; Bacillati; Bacillota; Bacilli; Lactobacillales; Lactobacillaceae. The record is from RNAcentral.